RNAcentral lists this ribosomal RNA (303 nucleotides) under uncultured microorganism. Its description in RNAcentral is "bacterial SSU rRNA". It matches the Rfam family "Bacterial small subunit ribosomal RNA", at positions 9 to 301 of the family's 1533-position model. The record is from RNAcentral.
GAGUUUGAUCUUGGCUCAGGAUGAACGCUGGCGGCGUGCCUAAUACAUGCAAGUCGAGCGAACAGACGAGGAGCUUGCUCCUCUGACGUUAGCGGCGGACGGGUGAGUAACACGUGGAUAACCUACCUAUAAGACUGGGAUAACUUCGGGAAACCGGAGCUAAUACCGAAUAAUAUAUUGAACCGCAUGGUUCAAUAGUGAAAAACGGUUUUGCUGUCACUUAUAGAUGGAUCCGCGCCGCAUUAGCUAGUUGGUAGGGUAACGGCUUACCAAGGCGACGAUGCGUAGCCGACCUGAGAGGGU